RNAcentral lists this ribosomal RNA (486 nucleotides) under uncultured bacterium. Its description in RNAcentral is "bacterial SSU rRNA". It matches the Rfam family "Bacterial small subunit ribosomal RNA", at positions 28 to 507 of the family's 1533-position model. The record is from RNAcentral.
GAUGAACGCUAGCUACAGGCUUAACACAUGCAAGUCGAGGGGCAGCGCAGUGUAGCAAUACAUGGGCGGCGACCGGCGCACGGGUGCGUAACGCGUAUCCAACCUUCCCGUUACUUAGGGAUAGCCUUCCGAAAGGGAGAUUAAUACCUGAUGGUGUUGAAAUUCCGCAUGUUAUUUCAACUAAAGAUUUAUCGGUAACGGAUGGGGAUGCGUGACAUUAGAUAGUAGGCGGGGUAACGGCCCACCUAGUCUACGAUGUCUAGGGGUUCUGAGAGGAAGGCCCCCCACACUGGAACUGAGACACGGUCCAGACUCCUACGGGAGGCAGCAGUGAGGAAUAUUGGUCAAUGGUCGGAAGACUGAACCAGCCAAGUAGCGUGAAGGAUGAAGGUUCUAUGGAUUGUAAACUUCUUUUAUACGGGAAUAAAACCUCCCACGUGUGGGAGCUUGUAUGUACCGUAUGAAUAAGCAUCGGCUAACUCCGUG